This 1019-nucleotide long non-coding RNA is filed under the name Numida meleagris (helmeted guineafowl). RNAcentral describes it as "lncRNA (ENSNMEG00000009202.1)". The record is from RNAcentral. Lineage: Eukaryota; Metazoa; Chordata; Aves; Galliformes; Numididae.
GAAGGCUGGGGGUUAUCUGGGUAGCGAGGAAGGAAGCCAAUAAUCUGGUGAGCAGCUCCACCUGCCUGAGGCUUGAAAAUGAACUUGGGCAGAGGGAAAGCAGCUUGGGGUCAGCUCUGGGGUUGGUGGUUCUAUUGGGAUACAGCCAGGGAUGCUCUAGGGUGAGGGCAGCAGAAUGAGGCUGUACUUAUCUUGAGGGUGCGAGGUGGAUUCUGGGGUUUGUUCUGCUUCCCACCAGCUGGUUUUGCAGCCUUGUUCUGUGGUGGGUUGCUGCUGGUGGUGGGGAGGAGAGCUGGAGGAGUGCCAGGAGGGUCUUGUGGGGCAGCAGUGGGAAAGCAGCCCCCAAAGAGCCAUCAGAUGCCUGUUUCUAAUAGCACACCCCAGGAAGGCUGUGAGGUUUAAAGGCCAUUGGGGUGAAUGAAGGAGCACCUAAGAACUCCCAUGGCAUAACAACUUGCCCAAGGGACCGUGUGGUGUUGCUGAGUAUUUUCCCUUUCCUUUUUUUCUUUUUUAAACCCCGCGGAAAGUAAGAUUUGCAGGAUUUGCUUGCACCUCUCAACAUCCAGGAGCACCCCUGGUCUGAGGCUUAUCCCUGCUGGAUGAUCCAUGGCAGGUCUUAAAACUUGAGUUUAGAAGAUAAGAGGGAGAGAACUGGAUGACUGAGAGCAAAGAUGCUGAUGCUUCGCCUGAUGGGUCUUCUUCCAUCACUUCUGCACGAGGCACUGGAUGAAGCUGAUGGUGUGCGAUGUGGCAGGUCAUUGGCUCCAUCUGCAGUGGUGGGGAGUUCUGACCAAAUUUUGGGUCGUGGGAGCCCUCUGCUGAGCCUGUUGCAUCUGAAGGCAGCAGCCCUCUCCUCCUGGAGAGGCACGAAUUCCCCUUUCAGGGGGGAUAAAGCCAUGCAAAGUGCCAGCAGCACUCAGCACUGCGUGAAUCCUUCCCUAAAAAAGAGAGCAAAGAGGAAAACCAUCCAAACUCAAGAGGCCAAGGCAGGGAGAGGUUCCAAAACUUUCCAAGAAUGA